UCCGACUCUCGCAUUUUAAACCGUUAGAUCAGGCAUCGACGGCAGCCGCGCUUCCUACCUACAAGGACAGGCUACCGAUUACCCAUUGCGGCCUUCUGAGUUCCCAAUUUUUACCUUUUCAGACCUUAAAACCCUAGUCUUCGACUCUCGCUUUGUCUGUGACUCUGCGCUUCUUGCUCCUUGCUCCUUGCUCCUCCUUCAUCGGUCUCUAAAGGAUAAAUAUGAGUCGCUCUAGCAGGACACUCUAUGUUGGUAAUCUUCCUGGAGAUAUUCGUGAGCGAGAAGUUGAGGAUUUGUUUUACAAGUAUGGACCCAUUGCACAUAUUGAUUUGAAACUUCCUCCAAGACCUCCUGGUUAUGCUUUUGUUGAGUUUAAAGAUGCUCAUGAUGCUGAUGAUGCUAUUCGUGGUCGUGAUGGCUAUGAUUUUGAUGGGCAUCGGUUGCGGGUUGAGCUGGCCCAUGGUGGUCGUGGUCACUCAUUCUCUAAUGAUCGCCACAGUAGCCACAGCAGUGGUCGAGGUCCUCGAGGAGGAGUGUCAAGGCGUUCUGACUAUCGAGUGUUAGUCACUGGAUUGCCCAGUUCUGCUUCAUGGCAAGAUCUUAAGGAUCACAUGCGUCGGGCUGGGGAUGUUUGUUUCUCCCAAGUUUUUCGUGAGGGGAGUGGGAUGUCUGGGAUAGUGGACUACACCAACUAUGAUGAUAUGAAGCAUGCUAUAAAAAAACUUGAUGAGUCUGAGUUUCGGAAUGCAUUUGGACGUGCAGUAAUAUAUGUUAAGGAAUAUGAUUCAGGUCGCUCAAGAAGCCGAAGCCGCAGUCGCAGCCGGAGUCCUUCUUAUUCAGGAGGAAGGAAUGGCAGCCGUAGUCGUAAUCGAAGCCGAAGUUAUAGUCGUAGCAGGAGCAGAAGCAAAUCUCCUAAAGCCAAAUCUUCUCGACGUUCAAGAUCUCAUUCAAAGUCUCCAUCACGAUCCCCUCCUAGGUCAAAAGCACGCUCUAUGUCAAGCAUUAACUUGUGGUCAUAAAUUGGAGAAUGAAACUUCCUUUUUGGUGCUUCAUGAGAGAAUAGUCUUAAAGGAAAAGGGGAACUAGACCUGAAAAGGGUAAGAGAACCAAAAAGUUCUGUUUUUGUUUCUGGUGCGAAAACCUCAUAUGUUUCUCAAGGAAAUCCUCAUUGUAUUUUUCUCUUUGUAAAUAUGAAGUCACUGUUUUUUUAGAUCGGACUAUCUGCAGCAAUUUGUGGACUGCGUAUUAGGAACUUGAAUGGAUAUGGCUCAAUUGCCUACAACACUUUUGGUUGUUGAGAUUAUGAACAAAGAAGACAUGGAUUCUGGUGAUGAAGCUGGAUUUGGAACUGCUAAUUGAAAUUGGGAAUCACCAUCUAUUUGCAGCAGUAUAUUUUUUAUUAGUUCCUAUGCUGCUAGUAUAAUAAGGAACAUGUAUCUGAUUAUCUCAUAGCUUUUAUUCUUUUGGCAUCUCAAGCAUUGGUGUUGUGUGGGGCGUCUAUAAUCUUGGCUAAGAAGUCUUAAGUAGGUAACUUACAUAGGUGAAUAAAUAUCAUAUACUGCAGCCCUUACACUGUUUAACAUUUUGAUAAUUUGACAUGGAAGUGGAAUCAAAGGUGUUGGGUGAAAGUUCUAAUGCAGAUCAUGUAGGGACUUAAAUUGGUUUUUUUUUUCCUGGAAAUUUUGCAGAUCUUUAUCAAGAUCCAGGUCCCCAGUGCCACCUCGUAAGAAAGAAGUCAGUGAAAGCCCAAA
This is an RNA transcript of Ipomoea triloba (trilobed morning glory), 1751 nucleotides long. It is a transcript of the gene named serine/arginine-rich-splicing factor SR34-like, with no coding region annotated. The record is from RefSeq and is a predicted model, not a curated record. NCBI's taxonomy places the organism in Eukaryota, Viridiplantae, Streptophyta, Magnoliopsida, Solanales, Convolvulaceae. The transcript is spliced from 14 exons.